RNAcentral lists this ribosomal RNA (463 nucleotides) under uncultured bacterium. RNAcentral's name for it is "partial 16S ribosomal RNA". It matches the Rfam family "Bacterial small subunit ribosomal RNA", at positions 28 to 507 of the family's 1533-position model. The record is from RNAcentral.
GAUGAACGCUGACAGAAUGCUUAACACAUGCAAGUCUUUGGCGAAGCUGUGCUUGCACAGCCUAGCCAAGGCGGACGGGUGAGUAACGCGUAAGGAACUUGCCCUGCAGUCAGGGAUAACAGACGGAAACGACUGAUAAGACCUGGUAAAGUCAGGCGGACUCAUGUCCAGCCUGAUGAAAAGAGAUGCUGCAGGAGAGCCUUGCGUCCUAUUAGCUUGUUGGUGGGGUAACGGCCCACCAAGGCGAUGAUAGGUAGCCGGCCUGAGAGGGUGGACGGCCACAAGGGGACUGAGAUACGGCACUUACUACUACGGGAGGCAGCAGUGGGGAAUAUUGGACAAUGGGGGCAACACUGAUCCAGCAAUUCUGUGUGCACGAUGAAGGUUUUCGGAUUGUAAAGUGCUUUCAGCAGGGAAGAAAAAAAUGACGGUACCUGCAGAAGAAGCGACGGCUAAAUACGUG